GUGGCUUUACUGACAUCGUCUCAAUCUUUUGGCAACUAAAGAUUCCGUGCCCUUCUCUUUUGCUAUGCGCCUACGCAAACACGUAACGCUAUUCAACUUCUCAUUUUUUUCCAAUAAGAUUCAGAUAAUAUACAACUAUACAAUAAUAGAUAUUUAUAUAUAUUUUUUUUUUGCUAAGAAUGUAAAUAACAUUAUAAACGAAAAAAAGGUUUGUACAGAAAGCAGACCUAAAGAAAGCAACACUUUGGCAAAAAGUGGAAAAACAAAGUGAAGCAUUUGAGAGACCAAUGAAGGCCUUUUAUCUUAACCACAACGACAUGAGGCCCCGGAAAUGCUUCCGCUGCCUCCUUGCUGAGAUAGAGUUUUUAAUGUCUCUGUCUAUUGAUCUGAAAAUUGCGUCCGGGGAGAGAGAGAGAUUCCAUUAUGCAGUACGUUAGUACGCUGCCUCCAGAUAUGGUAAAUAGUAGACUGGCCAACGAGCAUUCUCAGUACUGCUAUACAAUAAUAUUAACAGGAUAAAUAGUAGACUGACCAACUAUACAAUAAUAUUUGCAUGACGUAUAUCCAAAAGGAUAAUGCAUGCAUCUUAACAGCCGUAUUUGGUCAGAAUAUAAACAUUAAAUUGAUUGCCGAGCUAGU
Molecule: long non-coding RNA, 639 nt
Filed under: Brassica rapa (field mustard)
Lineage: Eukaryota; Viridiplantae; Streptophyta; Magnoliopsida; Brassicales; Brassicaceae
Description: long non-coding RNA (BRAP_LNC005134)
Source: RNAcentral